GGGUCGGCGCCAAUGCAAGGGGGCCGGCCAUUCCUUUUCUCAUUGCCCACAUCAGCGAUUGUCGCCACCACCCCUGGACGCUGAUGCGGUGCUGGCUGAUUCCCAAAGCCCUUUGCCUUCUGUAUUGUGUUGAUUUGCACCAUAACCCUGCCAGAGAAACAGCACGUAGCCUCAGUUUACAGAUGGUAACACAGAGGUCCUUUCAGCAAACUGUCACAGGUUCCCCUCUGUUUGUCAGGCUUGGCCCUGGGAUAUGUGUUAAACAUGACAGAGACCCUGCCCUUGGGAAGCUUGUGUGCUGUGCAAAGGAGAAAGGGGCUUAACAUGUAAACACACAGACACCAUAGUUCCAGGGGGCGGCCGUGCUCUGGGAGAGCAGCAGUGGGGCAUGUGAUAGAGUGACUUGGUAGGGACAUCCUUGGAUACAGUCAUCAGGGAAGGCCUUCGAGGAGGUCACAUUUGAACUCUAACGAAGUAACAGAGUGAGCCACGCAAAUACCUGCAUGUGUUGGGUUGGGGGUUGCAGGGGCAGUCAUGCAAAGGCCCUGGGACAUGAGCAUUUGAGGGAAACCAAGAAGGCUGGUGUAGGCCGCGCACGGUGGCUCACACCUGUGAUCCCAGCACUUUGGGAGGCUGAAGCAGGAAGAUCACUUGGGGCCAGGAGUUUGAGACCAGCCUGGGCAACAUAGACCCCAUCUCUACUAAUGAUUUUUUAAAAAAUAAGCCAGGUGCAGUGGUGCACACCUGUAGUCUGAGCUACUUGAAGGCUGAGGCGGGAGGAUCACUUGAGCCCAGGAGGUCGAGGCCACAGUGAGCUGAGAUCAUACCACUGUACUACAGCCUAAGCGACAGUAAGAUGAAAAAAAUAAAGAAGGCUAGUGUGUCAGAAGAUGACUGAGGCCUCAGGAGGUUGGAGAUGAGGUCACAGGGGUCAGGUCAUGUAGCUCCUUAGAGGCUGAGGUUUGGAUUUUAUUCUAAGUGUGCUGGGAAGAGAUUGGAGGCUCUUAUCACAGGCAAACACUUACCAGUGAGCAGCCCGGGAUGGCAUCCCAGACCUGAAUGACACUGGAGCCCCUGAACUGUCACUCAUCCAAUAAGCACUUGUCUAGAACCUUCAUGCAGGGCCUCUGCUGGUGCUGGGAAAAGGAGAAAUGGGCCGCAAGAUUCAGGCCAGGCGGGGCUGUGGGCAGCAUCUGCUCUGCUCAGCCCUGCAGCUUCCUGCCCGCUAAAGCAGGGGUGCCUCCUGCAGCUCACCCCAAGGAAAACUCAGAGUCAAUACUUCUGAGAAACUCCUUGGCUCCCCACAUGAGCCUCUUCCUCAUGUUUGAUGGAAUGGGGACGGACCGGGGGUGGGUGCCCAACUUCAGAAUGUGUGGUGACCACUCUGCAGAAUCAAGUAUGGCAGUAAAGGCCAGGCACAGUGGCUCACGCCUGUAAUCCCAGCACUUUGGGAGGCCAAGGCAGGUGGAUCAUUUGAGGUCAGGAGUUUGAGGCCUGGGCAACGUGAUGAAACCCCGUCUGUACGAAAAAUACAAAAAUUAACUAGGCCUGGAGGCGGGCGCCUGUAGAGUCCCAGCUACUCAGGAGGCUGAGGCAGGAGAUUCGCUUGAACCUGGGGGAUGGAGGUUGCAGUGAGCUGAGAUCGCAGCACUGCACUCCAGCCUGGGCGACAGAGCAAGACUCUGUCUCAAAAAAAAAGAGUGUGUGUGUAUAUAUAUAUAUAUAUUUAUAUAUAUAUAUAUAAAUUUAUAAAAACAUAUAUGGCACUGAAAAGGACUGUGGGAACCAAGGAAAAAGGAAAAGUUUGAUCCAGGUCUGGAUUCUCUUUUCCUUGGAUUUCCUUUGUUGAGAUUUGAUUAGUAACAAUGAAAACAAAAGUUCUCAUGAUUCUAAGCAGUUUCUGGAGCCAGGCGGCCCAGGUUUGAGUCCUGACCCUGAAACCUCCCUGCUAUGUGACUUUGAUCAAGUCACGUGACCUUCAUGUGCCUAAGUUGCACCCCUAUGUAAAAAUGGAAGAAAUUGAGGGUAAAAUCAAUGAAUCUGUACAGACCGCUUAGAAUCUUACCUGGUUCAUAGAAAACACUCAGCAAGUAUUAGCUCUUAUUACUACGGGUUGUCAUUAUCCAGUCCAACCUACUGACUGAACAGAUGAGAAAAGUUUAGACUGAGAGAGGGAGAGUGAUUUGUUCAAGGUCACACAGCAAGUUAGUGGCAGAGUCAGAAGUGAACCCAGAUCAGCUGAAAUCAGCUCCCUGAAGGAAGGCUUCUGUCUCUCUGGGACCCUUUGACCCAGGGCUGCUGGAGACCCUGUGGUUAAGGCUGGUGGGGAGACUGAAAUCACACGCACCAUGGAUUGAUCCACCGUGGUGUUCCACUGCCCAAGAGCUUACGAUUCCAGACAGAGGCCUGCCAUGCAUUCCUUUGCUCACCCUUUGUCUCCCUUAUCUCUGGUGGAGUGCCCACUCUGUGCCUGUUCUGAGCUUUGCCAGGUUGGAGGCAGGGCAGGGAGGCACAUUCUGGGGCCUGCGUCUCCCUGCCGCGGUGACUUGGACAUUAGAAAGUUUUCUAGCAGCAAAGUAAGCCUGGGCCUGGAGGACCCCGGAACCCUAUCCCAAUUUCCUUCAGCCCAAGAAGGAGGACUUUUUUGUUUGUUUGUUUGUUUGUUUGUUUGUUUUGAGACGGAGUCUCACUCCGUCGACCAGGCUGGAAUGCAGUGGCGCAAUCUUGGCUCACUGCAGCCUCCACCUCCCAGGUUCAAGUGAUCCUCCUGCCUCAGCCUCCCAAGUAGCUGCGACUACAGGUGUGUGCCACCACGUCCAUCUAAUAUUUGUAUUUUUAAUAGAGACGGGAUUUCAUCAUGUUGGCCAGGCUGGCCUUGAAGUUCUGACCUCAGGUGAUCUGCCCACCUUGGCCUCCCAAAGUGUUGGGAUUACAGGUGUGAGCCACCACGCCCAGCCUUGCCUUUUCAUGUCCGAAUUGUCUGAAUCAUAUUCCGUUCUAUGGCCAUACCGCAUGUUGUUUGCCCACUCAUCUGUGGAUGGACCUGUGAGACGUCACCAACCUUUUGGCUGUUGUGAAUCACGCUGCUGUGAACAUCGUGCUCAAGCUUUUGUGUGGACCUAUGUUUUCAGUUCUUUGAGGUGUAUACCUAGGAGUGGAAUUGCUGGGCCAUAGGGAAACUAUGUUAAACUUCCGACACUUCUGCAGGGCACCCGGAGGCCUCGGACCCACAGGGCCUGGACCUGAGGGCUCUGAGCCGCUUCCCUGUGCAUCAGUGCACGCACGCUCGCAGCGCCCUCCACCCAGGGAACUUUGCUUCCACAGCCUUCCAGAUCCCUGCUGGGCUUGUCAUGAAUCAGCCCACACGUGAGCAAUCUGAGACGCACUUAAAUGGCAUCUAGCGUGGGUCCGGCUCCCAAAGGGUUAGCUCAGGAGGAGCACGGCAGCAGCCCUCCCGCCUGAGUGGAGAGACGGGGCAGAUGCCAGGCAUGCCUUUCGUGGUUAUUUUUAUUUUGCAUGGGAAACCAUGGGAACACAACAAGGAGAAAGCAUGUCUUCCACCUGCUAGGGGAACAGACCUGGGACAGACAGGGUCCUUGGGAGAAGGUGGAGCCGGGGAAGUGAGGGCUGAGAAUGUGCUGGGCAGAGGCCAGGGGUAGACCGAGGACUUGGGGGUGUGCAGUCGUCCGAUUCCUGUAUGGGGGGUGAGGGGGUGCUGAGAGGAGCCAGCCCCGCAUGGAACAGUGUGGCCUUCCCAGCAGUUCAACUGGGACACUGUGCUCAGAGGCACCUGGCAGGCUCCUCUACCCCCGGAAGUCUCCAGAUUAAAAAGCACUUCGCUCCCGGCUGUUUGUGGCAAUCCAGUUUGUCAGCUGGAGGGCAGCGCGCAGAAACUUGUUAGCACAGGCAGAAAUGAAUGACAGGUAUGCAAGCCAUCGCGCCGGGGGAUGGGGUGUGAAGAUUUGCUCAUGGGUUUGGAAAAAAAUCUUUGGGCUCUAAAGGAACAGCUUAGUCACCAGGGGAAGAGGAAAACUGACCACGUUGUGAUUUUCUGAAGGUCAUUACAGAACAACACUGCAAUAAAAGAGAAGUCAUUGUCAUUCUUCUACUUGGCACAUUCAAAAAGGGCUCUGUCUUCAACGCUGGAGUGCAGUGGCGCAAUUAUAGUUCAUCAUAGCCUCAACCUCCCAGGCUCAAAAGAUUCUCCCACCUCAGUCUUCUAAGUAGCUGGGACGACAGCAUAUGUCCAUUUGGAGAGGCCCCAUUUCAAGUGCUCAGUGGCUGCUGGUGGCUGCCGAAUUGGAUACGUUGAGCUCAACGGUGCUCUCAGAAGCGCGGUGGCUCAU
Long non-coding RNA from Gorilla gorilla gorilla (western lowland gorilla), 4346 nucleotides. RefSeq lists it as uncharacterized. Lineage: Eukaryota; Metazoa; Chordata; Mammalia; Primates; Hominidae. The record is from RefSeq and is a predicted model, not a curated record. The transcript is spliced from 3 exons.